CAAAGAUCACUAUUACCAUAACUACAGCAUUCCUCCCAUAAAGCUUUUGGAGGUAACCAAGAGGUUCGUUUGGUUCGACUGUUGAGAUAAAAAGCUCGACCAUCUUCAUUAAGAUGAACUCGAACGUGUUUGGGUAGACGAUCAUUGAUUUGAAUUACCCAUUGAUCUUCUAGACUGGUAUUAUCAUCUAAUAUUUCACAAGUACUUGGUUGACGAUGGUGUGAUGGUGAAGGAGAAGGUGAAGAGGAAGAUGAUGGUGAAGAGGAGGAAGGAGAUUCGGACACUGAUAGUGAUGAUGAAGAAGAUGAUGAUGGUCGAAACAUUAAUUUCAUCAAUAAACUGUUUCCACUGUUACUUGAAGUUGCAUUGUGAUAACUGCUUAAAAUAGCAGUCUUCAUGGUUGAAAAUUGUGUUGAAAAAUAGUUAACACAAAAACUUAACAGUCACUUGACAAUCCAACCAAACAUUUAACACUUUUGGAAAUUCCUGUCGAUGUAUGAAAGAAAAGAUGAAAUCAACAGUAACUACAAUGUGAUUAAUAAAGCUUUGGAUGGAUACAAAUCAACUGAUGAACGGACAAAUGUUAAAUGGAUUGAACUACAAUUUUGUUUCUCUCUCUCUCUCUUCAUACAUCUUCACUUUUUCGUGGUUCCUCCAACAUUUAGCUUCUCAAAAGAUGAAAGACACUCACAUAACCAACUAUAUACAGAAAAUAGGUCGAUGGUCGAAGAUGGCCUUGAAGAUCUCUUAAUUACUACUUUUAUCUGGUUAGCUAUUUAACUAAUAACAUAAUGAAGCAAAGAAAGAAGCAAGAGAAGAAAGCAAAUGUUUUACCACGAAAAGAAAGAAACCAAAGUUGGCCUCUUUAAAUCUCUCAACGAACCUGUUCUGACCACACCGGACAAGACAUUUUUUAAUCAAGAAUUAGAAUAAGAAUCAGAACCAGAAUCAGAAUAACAACAGUUAAGAAAAUGCGAGAACAUAAUGAUCAAGAAGAAGACGAAGAAAAAAAAGACAAACACUUAACUUGUGGUCAAGGCUGUUAAAACCGUUUUACUGAUCAUCUUAACCAUGUUUUACAAAUUAUAAGUAAUAGCUUUAUAAAUUGUAAUAUAUUUUAUAUCAUUAAACUUUCGUUAAACCCAA
Molecule: long non-coding RNA, 1146 nt
Organism: Tetranychus urticae (two-spotted spider mite)
Lineage: Eukaryota; Metazoa; Arthropoda; Arachnida; Trombidiformes; Tetranychidae
Source: RefSeq, a predicted model, not a curated record